Molecule: long non-coding RNA, 946 nt
Organism: Myotis davidii
Lineage: Eukaryota; Metazoa; Chordata; Mammalia; Chiroptera; Vespertilionidae
Exons: 2
Source: RefSeq, a predicted model, not a curated record
UCCUGGCACAGUGAGUCCGCCGGGCCGCUUGCUGCCGCCCGCGGAGUCUCAGGAGGCGGCCCAGAGCCCUGGACUCGCUGCUGGAGUUUCUCUUAGCCGCUCUGGGGCGGGCGCGAGGACGGGUUGGACCCUAGAACGCGCGGGGCCACGGUGGACAAGGGCGCCUCUACGCAGUCCCCAUUCCCAAGAGUCAGGUCCUCGGGCCGGACCCGAUAUUCCGGCUGCUCAUCUUCCUCUGGGGCGCCCUGCUCAUGCCACCUGCUGGGCUACCCAGCCUUUCUCCCGGGCCAGACCUCGGCUAAGUGGUGGAGCCAUUAGUGGGCAGAAACCAGAACAGAGCGCCGAGCGAUCCCCAAAGCCUCUUUCUGCAGCGCGGUUGCGAGACGGGAAGCGAGCGUGCACCGAGCAGGCACUGAGAUAGUCUCUCCAUCCCUUGCACCAGCUGCCUGGGACUUGCCUUGACCAAUGCAGAGAAAGUGACGUGGUGUGAAUUCCUGUGGUUGGGCCGUCAGCAGUCCUGCAACAGUCACCUUGCUCUCCUAGAACCCUGAGGCCACUGGCUGGGCAGAAGCCGGGUCAGCCUUUGGGAAGAUGAAAGGCCAUGUGGAGGAGGACCGAGGGGCCUCGCCAACAGCCAGGCCUACUGCCAGUAUGUGCAGGAAGUCAUCAUCUUGGAGCCCCUAGUUCUAUUGAACUAACAUGACCAUAGCCCUAGUGUUAACUGCGGAACCUGGUCCUGCUCUGUUUCUACCAAGACCUGGAACCAACGUUUCAACCUUGGAUACACCACUCACAAGCAACACUUGUGAACACCACUCACAGGUAACACUUGUAAACCCUGAACUGUUACCUCUUGAACCCCCACCCUGAGUCCUGGAACAGGAGCGACAUCUGAGCCUUGUCUGCUGUCUCAGCUCCCAAAUAAAGCUCCUUUUUUCUCUCCAAA